GAUCUCUGACAGCGCUGUUUAUCUGAGUGUUCAGCCGCACGCCGCAACCAAUGUAACUGUGUGCCAUGUUUUUUAGGGACAAAGUGAAGGCGACACUUUGUAAUGAAAUAAUUGACCUCAAAAUGUGUAUCAAAAUAUCCCGUUGAUUGUUGAGCAUUAAAGAAUAUUACUUCAAAAGCUCUGGGAGUUGAAAUUUGAAGGGAAUAUACGGGAAAAUGAAAGUGACCUAAUAAAGAUAGCAGGAGAAAAUGUCUUUCAUGUCCGAUAUUUCUGUUCGGCGUGGAGUCGCACUUGAGUUCUAACGCCCGAAAACAUCGACCUGCCUGGAAGUAGAAUCAGUGUAAGUCAUAAGGAGAAGAGUCCGCUGUGAGUCAUCAGAAGGUGUGAGCUUUCAUCAGCUUCCCCCCGUUUCUCCCGCGUGACCGAUUCUCCCUCUCGUUGUAGCUACAAACCACAGCGAGGGACACACACCCGUGGUUUAGACUGAGGAACAUGAAUACCUGUGAUAUCGUCGGCAUUAAUUGGGGUAAAUUUAAAUCAUAUUAUUGAUCUCAUUAUUUUUUCUUUUUUUAAUAAACAUGCAAUUUUAUGUUUUAGAUCAACCGCAGCUUUUGAAUGAUGACGAUGAUGCAAAGUGUCAUAACUCUGUAACAACUUUGUCUAUCUGGAGAGUGUUUUUUUUUUUUUUCUCGGUGGUAAAAAGGAAAAGUGUUGUUAAAUAAAUCAAUACAACACAAAAAAAGACCUAACAGCCCUACGAGCCCGGUCCUGAAGCGAUACCAGCGCCCAGCGGUCCUGCACACACCUCAAUCCUUAUUUCUAAGAGGUUUAUUUGGAUAUAAAUAGGAAAAGUGUAUUUCGCCGAUUCCCAUGUGUUCCCUUCAUGCCAUCUGCUUCAGGUUGGUGUUGUGUUUGUCUCUCCGUGAUCCUUUGAAUGGCUGGAUGUGCGUUUGAUCAUAGUGCCAAAUGUUUGUCUGUAAGACUGUUUGUUACAGGGCUUUGUUGUGCGUUAGCUGAUGCACAAAGAGGGGAAAUCUGUCAAAGAGAAAAGGAAAUGUUUCCUUUUCCACAUUCAUUCACAGCCACCCAAUAAAUAAUACAAAUGAAAUGCUGAUUUAUGUUUUGGUUUUCUGUUUAAUUUAGUGCGUUUUAGUGGAGAAAGAGUAAAUAUAGCUUCCAUGAAGAGUCAUUGUCCACUUUAUUGAAAUUCACAUAUUCAACACUGAACAAGCUCUUGGUUUAGAAUCCAAAUCACACCAACUUGGGGGUCUGAGAAAGUGUAGUUUAAUAUUUUAUUUAAAAAGCACUGUUCCGGUGAACAGAAAAUUGCACUCACUGUCAACUGUGAAUAUGGGAAAAAAUCUCUCUUUCUUUGACCUUAAUGGUGUUUUGCAUCCAAAAAAAACAUCCCAACUCAACAAAAAGUCCAGCAGGGUUUUUAUUCAUGUGUUUAUUAGGAGGAUUUAUUUCUGAAAAAUAUUCCAUUGUUGAAUACGGAGUAUUUGUUUUAAUUAGGUGGUAAGAAAUAAUGGUAAUUAGCUGUGACUAAAAGUAACUUCGCAGCCAGCACACGUGCUUCUUCAUUCUCUGGAUGAAUGACACUCAUAUCUGGGAUAAAUGAUCAAAGAAAAACUCAAUAAAGAGACUUUUCAUUGUUCAUCAACAGCAAACGAUGUCAGAAAAAGCUCGCCGUCUUAUUGAUGCUUUUCUAAUGAAAAAAAACUUUUUAAGGUUCUCCUAAAUCGGCGGGGACAUCUUUAAUCAGUCGGUUCGGGGUCUGGAAGGUUCCAUUAGCUCCCUUCCCCCAUUCGUGUCUCAACAUCAGCGCUGUGCUGUUACGUCGGCCCAGACGCUGCUAGUAAGGUGAGGUGGCGAGAAAAUAGGUUUCAUAUGUGACAGGUGUUAUCUGCCCUUCACUAAACACAUUUGCAGGGGGGGGGGAGUCGGUGCAUCGCGUGGAAGAUGAGCGACAAGCGAUGGUGCCAUGAACCCCGUGCUAGAUUGGAAAUGGAGAAUUUCUCUGCGAACGCAGUUUGGUUGGCUUCCUCCAGCCGACAGCCAGUUGAUAAAUAAACUGGAAUUCAUUUAGAAAAAAACGAGAAAAAGCAUAAGGAGUGUAAUGUGUGUGUGUAUGCAAAUGAAUGCUGCAAUUUUAAGACGUGGUAACUUCGUAUUACUGAAACUUCUUAUAAUUUAAACCGACCUCUGGCACUUAGCUCGUAUAAUCCUUGUCCAGAGGAGGGGAAUUAGGAGGAAUAACUUACAUAGCUUUAGAGUUUUAUUUUUACUUUUAUUGGGAUUCUUUUCACCAGGCUCAGACUUGCUAGUCAGCAGCAUGCAGUUUAACCAACAUGAACAUUUACGAUGUAAAAACCCGCCCGGCUGGUCCAGAUGACAGGCCUGUGUGUUGCAUCACGAUUUAAAAAAAAGAUCUAUUUAAAUAAAUGGAGCAAUACAACAGCAAUAUCAUUUAUCGGUUUCAUCUGGCAGCUCCAGCCUCUAUUGUUGGAUACAUUUUAUUCAAAUACCAGUUUGCUGUCUAUAAUUAAAGAGAGGAAAAAAAAAACUGGGUUUAGGCAGUUUCAUUACGUAGACACAUCUUUCUCUGCUCACAUUGUGGAGGUCUUAUCCUCCAAGUCUUAAGUUUGACUUUUGCAAAACUUAUGAGACAUUUAUGUGCAAACAUCCAAAUGACUGAGAAGAAUUAGUGUUUAACUUCACAGGGUUCCAAAGUCCUCAUAUGAUUAACUUAGACUCAUGCAGCAUGUGAGCACAUGCAGAUUUUCUUUUUAAGACCUUGAACCAAGAAUUAAAAAUAGACGGAUAUUAAACAGGAAGACAGCGUUCGAUUAAAUACCAGCCUCUCGUGCCGUGGGUGAUUCCACUGUCUCUGACUUUAACCCGGUGAACAUUUACAUCCCACACGAGCCUCGGCUUUAAUAUCUGACUGUUGUGACCUGUUGGAUCCAAACAUUUUAAGGUCAUUCGCUCCUUUCACUAAGUUGAGUCGCCUAUUCUCGAUCCCAGCCGUGGACAGUGUUGGCUAACUAAAUCUACUCUCCGACCACACGAAAAACAGCUGUCCACAUCUGUUCCUAGCCAGACGAUGUAGAGCCUAUAAACCACAAUGAUCCUAGCGGGCCUUGAUCCUAAAACCUGGACUAAACUUUUGUAACAUCAGCAUCAGACGUCUUCCCGUUUAUUUGUGUCCAUCAAACUGAAUCAAAGAGCAGUUUGACGAGACGGUCGCUGAGUUCUUCUAUCUUGGGAGGGUUCAGCCCUCUGCAAUCGUGCCUGUUGUCCAGACGGGGCUACGACCACGAGACGCCUCGGCGGGGAUGUGUGUGUGAGACGGACAGCGGCCAGAUUCCCCUCUGCGCGCCGGCGCCGCCGAGUGAGCCGCCACAGAAGCCCGUCUGAGCGUCGUCCCGCGCUGGGAGCACGGGGGCCUCUCGGCGUCUUCCUCCGCAGCUCUCGCGGACACAAACACCAGAGCGCCAGCGGGGGGGGGGGGCACUUUGCAUCGCUUUUUGCAAACAUGCGGAUGAGUCAGCUCGGCGCCUCCUCUGCGCUCGCUUUAAGGCGUGAGCUCCACAAAGGGAUGCGCGCGGCGUCUCAUGGCUCGACGGUGUGGCGCAUUGCUUUAUGCUAAUGCUUCAUUUACAAUACUGAAAUAUGCAUUUCUGCUUUAAGGAUUCAUGAGCUGCAGCCUAUUUUUAUCAUUACCGUUACGCCAUUUGACAAUAACAGCACUUGGGCCAAAGUGCGGCCACAUUGCAGAGGGGAAGAAGAUGCCCGAUGCUAUUCUCGUCCGUCCCAGCCGGUAGAAGCACGUCCCGGUUUAGCGGACACGCUGCCGGAGCCAUCCCGCCUCCUGGCAUCACGUUACGGACGCGCAUUAUCCGCGGCUAAUGCGUUCCCCUCUUUCGAUUAGCACGUAAUUGAUGAUAAUGCCACGUAUGCGGACGUACCGGAUGUCUGCGCCUGGCAAUGGUGAUUCGACCCUUUUACUCCGGUCUACAUUCAGCACGCAUCCAGUCCCCUCGUUAUGGAGCUUGCAGUGCUGUUGUGGAGCAGUUGCAUCAGUAUGCAUGCCCGACUUGCCCUCAAAGUCAACAGCUAGGUUGGGUCACUUUGAGUUCACGUGAAGGCAGGGAGAGCAUCAUAAUUCAUAUCCUCGGUGACACACAGAAAUUAGUAUUGAAGGAGAAGCGCACAGUGCAAAGCCUUGAGCAACCGAUGCAGUUAUUGUAGCGCCUCCAACAGCGAAACCAAGCAGAGGCUCCACUCAAAACACACAGAGAUAAAGAUUUCAUGGGCACCUCAGAGUGGAAAGAGUGGAAACAUCCAACAUCCUGCUUUCAUGAUUUAGCACACGAGCCUCAACACGACCAUCUGGGUGGAUAAAUUAAAGAUCUUCAAUCUGAGUCUAUUGCCGGCGACGGCGGCUUUGCAGUGUUUUAUUUAUUUUCUGGGAGGAAGCUAAAUAGACACAGAGAAAUCGAGUGCAGGUCACCUGCCGCGCGCCAGUGUUUUUUUACGUAUUUGUUUUUGUGGUUGAGAAAUAUUCGCCGGUAAAAGGCGUUCACGAAAGGUUUCGUGUACAGGGUGGAGCACUUGCUCCUUCACAAAUCGACGGAUUUAAAAUGUGCUGCGCUUUAGAGGCGCUGCUGAUGUUUGAUUCAGAAGUCAACAAAAUGUCUUUGAUUGGCACAUUUGGUCAUGCGCUGUUUAGGCGCUAAUUAGCAAUCAGGGUUCUCCUCCACCAUAAACUGGUACUGAUCUGUUUCCAGGAAUGAAAAAGCAAAACGUAAUUGAUCUUCUUUCAAAACUUGAAGGAAGCACAAAUUCCUUCCGUCUGCGGCGCUGAAUGCAGAAGCUUCGCCGCAGAUCCGGUGCAGGUUUUUUGUCAAACGCGCACCCGUCUCCGUGCGCUUUCAAAAGACUAAAAUUCGGAAUGACAACAAAAGUUGUUUGUCAGCCCGGUUGGAAAUAAAUGACACUUUGCAUAUUUACACCGUGAUGAUUUGUUCGCGGCCCGAAGAGGCCUGUGUUCGGAUGGAGCCAUUACCCUGGACCUGCUGCUGUGGUGCCUGAAUGCGUCGUGUAAUUACCCAGAAUGCCGCUGACGCCCCGCGACCGUUUCUUAUCUCAGAAAUCCCAAAGAGCAAACACAAAGCUUAACAGAGCUUAACCCAAAGUGACAACAUUUGAAUCUAAUAAUCUCAACGACUAAUGUGUUUGUUUGAAACACUGGCAGACCGUUUGAUUUAGUCGAGGCCUUGAGCCAAAUAAAGGCUACUUUGCUUCCUACAAAACCAGUUUUCAUACCUGCCGGGUCUCAGUCCAGCGUCGUGCAGCGAGCUGCUGAAGGUCAGCGUGACGGAUGCAAGUUGAACUGACCAUUAAUCAGGCGUUAUUUUAAGUACAGAACUAAUAUCAAGUGCAUUUCUUCAAAGACCAAAUUGUGAUUUGUAUUCCCGAGAUAGUCUUGACCGUUACAGAAGUGAGAUGCAGAGGAGCCUCAUGACGUUUGGGUCGUUCACAACCAGGAGUGGAUAAACUGUUUUAUUGUCUGCCUUUGAAGGCUUUGAAGGUUUGGAGAAGCGGCUCGAUGUUCAGCGGCCACGUUCUUUUUAACCAUUUCCAUCCAACCGCUGGAUGGAAAUGGUUAAAAAAAUAAACAGAUCGAUUUAAGGAAAAUCAUGACUCUUUACUCAACAAAAUCAGAUAGUUUUUAUUCGUUUUGUUUCAAUUCACAACAUCAACCUUUUGUAUAAAACUCGGGAAACGGAAAUCGGGGGGAAAAUCCGAUCCCAUCAAAACGUAAUUAAAAAUGCAGUUUAGUUGAACGUAAUCUGGAGGAGACAACAACAUGCAUUUAUAUCUAGCAGGAGACUGUGUUUCGUUUGCUAAUGACUGUCUUUACACGAGGGGAACAAAAACCAAUCAUUCACUGUUUACCUCCAUGGCUGAGCAAGGCCGAGAUCUAACCGACUAUCACCGUAUAUACACCGUGUAUCACUGUACAUCACCGUAUAUACACCGUGUAUCACUGUAUAUCACCGUAUAUACACCGUGUAUCACUGUACAUCACCGUAUAUACACCGUGUAUCACCGUACAUCACCGUAUAUACACCGUGUAUCACCGUACAUCACCGUAUAUACACCGUGUAUCACUGUACAUCACCGUAUAUACACCGUGUAUCACCGUAUAUACACCGUGUAUCACCGUGUAUCACCGUAUAUCACCGUAUAUACACCGUGUAUCACCGUAUAUACACCGUGUAUCACCGUGUAUCAUCGUAUAUACACCGUGUAUCACCGUGUAUCAUCGUAUAUACACCGUGUAUCACCGUGUAUCACCGUAUAUACACCGCGUAUCACCGUACAUACACUGUGUAUCACUGUAUAUCACCGUAUAUACACCGUGUAUCACUGUAUAUCACCAUAUAUAUACAGUAUAUCACCACAUAUACACCAAUGUAUCACCGCAUAUAUACAGUAUAUAACCGUAUAUACACCGAUGUAUCACCGUAUAUCACCGUAUAUGCACCGUGUAUCACUGUAUAUCACCGUAUAUACACUGUGUAUCACUGUAUAUCACCGUAUAUACACCGUGUAUCACUGUAUAUCACCAUAUAUAUACAGUAUAUCACCACAUAUACACCAAUGUAUCACCGCAUAUAUACAGUAUAUAACCGUAUAUACACCGAUGUAUCACCGUAUAUCACCGUAUAUGCACCGUGUAUCACUGUAUAUCACCGUAUAUACACCGUGUAUCACUGUAUAUCACCGUAUAUACACCGGGUAUCACUGUAUAUCACUGUAUAUAUAUAUACAGUAUAUCACCGUAUAUACACCGAUGUAUCACCGUAUAUCACCGUAUAUAUACAGUAUAUCACCGUCUAUCACCGUAUAUACACCGUAUAUGACCGUAUGUAGAGUAUAAAGCUGUGCUCGUGAGCCGGACUGCAGGUCGACCCAGAUUCAAUGAAUUCGAGGCAUUUUCAGACUUGACUUGAAUAUGAAUAACUCUAAAAGAUGUGUUGUUUUGUAACAUAACAAUGGUAACGGAUGGACUCAAUGGAGUCUUGAGUUGACACUUAUUGAUGGGGAACAUCGCUUCAAUGGUUAUUAAUAAAUAAAAGUCCAUCUGUGUUAUAAAAUGGGCCAGAUGAAAAAAAUAUAUAUAUAAUAUGCAAAUGUUGCAACAAAAAAUGAAAAUGAUUAAACAAAUUGUGUGUUUAUUGUUGUAUGAAUGGCAAAUUUAUCAUCCGGCCAAGGGACAUCAGUUCAAAAUGAGCCUUUAAACUGUUCACAGCUUGCACAGUCCAUGAAACAACAACAUCAACAACAGCUCAUGCUGUGAAUCUGAGUGUUACGGCUGCGUUUUUAAUAUGCAUUUGUACAUUUUUAUUCAUAAAUUCAUUAUUAGGCUAAUUAUAUAAUUUGUCCUUUUUAUUUCAUUGAAAUUAUAUGUAAUUGGGUUGUUUAUUUUUUUUGCACGUAACUGCAACAUUCGUAUUUUCAGUGAGAAAUAAAUCUAAUAAAAUGUGAAAACAUGACAUUUGAUAAAAUGUUGUUCUUGUCAAUAAAGCAACGUGAGACCAGCAGCUUCGUGUUUACUAAUGAUUCCCGUUCGGAUUUCGACGUUUUCUCUCCGUGUUAGAAGUGUUUGACAGACAGCUGCAGGACAGAGUCUUUCUUUAUUCCAGUAAAUCACUGACUCGAGUUUAACCUUCGCUGACGGAUGCGUUAAACAUGAAGGACAGCCUGCCGCGCGAGAGCGUCACGCACUCAAAGAUUUUUUUUUUCUUCUUUUUGCAUUGGAUUGUUUCAUUUGCAGCGUGGGAGUUCUUUCACUCGAGUCUUCUUCAUUGCUUUCAGCUUUCAGACUGAACUGAGUCGGCUCAGCCGGGAUGCCAGACCUGUGUAAUUACUGCCCGAGGCCAGUUUAUCCCACUUUCCCACUGUACCGUCACUUGAGUGGUUAGAGCCGCGGGGCGGCGGGGGGGGGGGGGGCUCACCGAUGUAACAGGUCAUUACUCACAAGGGUUUGGACCGGCAAUGCAGAGUCAAACCUCUUCAGAGUGGAACAAAAGCUCCUGCUUUGAUGAAGGAACAUGGAUUUCUUACCUGCGACGGGGGGCGAGCGCGUGGAUCAUCCCGCUGCAGGUCGCUCCCAGAAGCUUUAACUCGACUCAACUCGCAGGUGGAGGGAGAUUCUUUGUCCGGGGCCACAAAACCCAACAUGGCUGGCGAGAUCUAAAGAUUAUGCUACAUAGAUGAUACGGCUUGUUCGAGGUUGUUGAGCUGCCGUAAAAAAAAUAAAAAAAAGUCAGUUUUUUUUUUCCAUUAAGCUGAAAUCAAUUCCAAGCGUUUAUUUCCCACCACUGUUGUGCUGGUAAUUCAGGGGUUGCUGAAGGUGGCUUCUGACCAAAUCAAGAGUUAAUGAAAUGAGGAAAUCCAUCUGGAAAUGGAUAGAUUACCAUUGCUGGCAGAAAAAGCACUAGCAUCUGGCAAAGGCUCGCCGUAGCAGCAUGUCUCAGCCGGAGCGAUUUGGCAUUAAGUUAAAUCCCCACGAGUAACAACAAGUGACACAUUAUGUUGUCAGAACUUGGGGGGAAUUUGGAGGAAACUUGUUUGUGCGACGAGACACAGCGUGCAUCCAAACCGACGCCGUUUGAUUUUUUUUUUAAAGCACAUUUUGUUGUGGAUACGGGCGCUACAUGGAUUUAAUCGCAGCGCCUUUCACCGAUCAAUACAGCAAUCAGCAGCAUUUGCACAGAAAAGAAAAGGUUUUGUCUUUGAGAUGGGAAAUCGUCACACAUGCAGCAAGACGCAUGGAACUACACAUGUUCAGACACAGGAUCGCUGUCUUUAAAUCCACAGCGGAUUCAUCUGUGAAUGGAUGUCGCUCCGUGAGACCAUUUACUUUGCUUUUCUAAGAAACGGUGGUGUCGAUUAAUUUCAUUUUUCUGUGUAAUAUACCUGUGGUUUGCUUCCUUGAGGCAAACACGCGGGUGAUUUGAUUUCAAACGCACAUCAUUUGAAAAAAACAUUCAGUGCAAAUUCUAAAAUCCAGUGUGCACGCAGAGAGGCCCGUGCGAUCGCACAGUGCCACACAUAACAAGCAUCUAAUGAAAAAGGACAAAGGGGGCAUUCAAUAACCACAUCUCAUUACGAGCAUUCGCUGCUAAAAUAUUUCCAUUGUCUCGAUCCAUAAAUUAAUUGUAUCGGCCGUCACAUUUGAUCAAGACGCGGAGCCACACAGUCCGUCAGCCGUCUGGGUUGCAGGCCGAACCCCCGACCGGAUGAUGAUGAAAAUGCCUGCAAGCGCGACAACUUUCAUUCAGCGGCAGGAUGCUCAUUUACGAAAUGGCACAACCCCUUUCAACAAGUUCCAGACAUUCAUCAGAUUUGCACAAUGGCACCAAAAGAAAUGACAGCGAGACAAAGAGGCGCGUCAUUAAAACCAGCAACAGUAUUACUUUUAACACAAUAAAAGACGUUUGUCCUGGUUGUCCAUGUUGUGGUUUUACAUUGGAUUAUUCUGUUCAUUUACACUCAUGUGCUGAAAUCGGGAUCCUCCCUCAUUUGCGUCUCUUGUUCUCAUUUUUGUCGUCCAGCUAGAGCGUCGAUUGUAAAGCCCCUCGAGGCAAAUCUGGGAUAUUUGGUCAAAUUGAUUAAAAACCCCUUUAACCCCCUUUUGGCCUCUGCUCAGGAAAUGGCAUCAGCCGUGAUAAAGAGUGUAAUAACUCUGGAACUACUUUGUCAACAAAAUCUCCAUGAAUCUCCAUUCUGCAGAAUCUCGGAGGUGUUAUAAAAUAACCCACAUAACUAAUUUAUGCCGCCGUUAUUGGUCAGCGAACUCCUUUCUUCUUAAGCGUAAGCGCUUCUCUCUGAAAUGAAAACCACCACCAACAUACAGAAAAUGUACAUAAUGUCCCGCUGAGAUUAAGUCCACGUGAAAGAUAGCGGCUCCUUCUGAGACGCACCCCAUGCUGCCGCACGGACGCACACUUUGCCCCGUCUCAGUGGGCCGCUCGCUCUCCUUCAGCAAGAACCAAACAAACCCAACAAAAACACUUUCCUUCACACGUACACUUUAAUAGCUGCAUAAAAGAUGGAUGUAAAGACAUCGAUCGAGGGGAGUUACUGCAAAUGUCACGGCAACUAAUUUCUCCGCACCACGACUACGAAGCUGCUCGUGUGAGCCGAAUGGUUGUUGGAUUUGUUAUUGGGUUUUUGACGUAUAAUAUGUGUAUAUAAUAUGUAAUAUGUAUACACACAUUUAUGUAAAAUACAUUUUUAGUUUACAGUCACAAAACAGAAAUCCUUCCCAUUCCUCUUUGACGUGUUCAUGUAAACUUCAUGGUGGGAUGAAUAACUUGUGGUGCGUACAUUUAACAUAAACGGGCAUUUAACAAUAUAUUUUUACAAUUAUCGAGCCGCACAGUCAAAUAAAUCUGUGCCUAUAAAUCUUGCUGAGCGGUUCUGCAACGCGGUCCUUGAGAGAUGACUCAUCUUCGGAUAUCAUUUAGAAAAGGAAAUUUGGAGAUCUGUCGCUCAUUGACGCCUGUCAAAAACGUGUAGAUACAAACACACAAAAAGGAAUCAAACUCUAACGACCUGCGGAACAAAACCAUUGGUUGAACUGAUGCCGUCCUUAAAACAUCAUCUGUCUAAAUCGUUUCUGAAAAAAAAAAUCUUAUCCACCAACCGUGUUUGGGUGUGGAGAUGAAGAUGGUGGAAGUAAGCGUUUGGAUUCGUGCUACCCAGAAAAGCUUUGAUGCAGGGCAACGGUCACCUCCUAAAAGAGCCAUUUUCCAACCCAUUCCGGAGCUGGAGAGCUGCGAGCUGCAAACGUUUCCCCCCCCCAGUUAUUUUUCUGUUGCAGGUGUGAGCAGUGCAGCCAAAAGGGAGGAGAGAGUGGCUAAAAGAAGUGCCUCUUAGCAACCGUGGACAGGCGAGCCAUUUCUCUGUGAAACGAUUCUAAAAGCGUUUGGUUUUUCUCUCUGAUGCGGAGGCUGUAAUCACAUUAAGACUUGUAAUUAUCCACUAGGAUGUCCUUAAUGUUUACCAGCAACGCGUCCUGGCCUUUGGGACGUGAACCAGCUCUCGCGUGUGGACAGAUGCGAACGCUUGAAGGAACUCCCGCGUGCACGGCAAUGUUUAAAAGGUGGCCAACGGACUGCGAAAACAUUUGACCGAUCUGAAACAAAAACCGUUUCAGGACAGCGCCGCCCACCUCCGUCCACUGAUGCCACGUUGUCCCACUUUCCCGGGUUUGGCCUUAAUCUCUGCCCUCAGCUGAGGCGGAUUAAUCCCGACAGUGCUGACAUUAUCUCCUGUUCCACGCGGUGACACCGGACACAGGAGGAACUCCCCACAUCCUCUCCAUCGCCACCUCCGGAGCCACCCACCUCAUAUCUGCAGCCAAAGGGUCACUUUGACACGGACACGCCGUGUUCAAAAGUUACCUGCGGAUUGGUCGAUUUUUCUCAGGUUUCUGGUAUAAAAGAUGUUUAUAUGUUUUAAUUCCAAAGAUCCAAUCAACUGUUCAUUAUAUGGCUUGUGAUCACUUUACUUAAGCAAAAAGUGUCAGGUGAUGCGGGGAAGGCAGGACUCAAACGCAGACUUUUUAGAAAACAAAAGACUUUAAUAGUCAAAAGGCAGAAACAAAAGGCCAAGGGGAAAAAACGCGCACAGGAGCCGCGGCAAAAAGGCAGGCAGAAACCAGGGACAUCCAGGACAUGACAUUCGACAAUGACGCGACGAGUGACAAGAGACACACACGGCUUAAAUACACUGGGGAGGUGCAGGUGAUUGGACACAGGUGGAAACAAUCAGACAAUCACAGGGGACGACAGGACAAGGCAGGAAGUGAAGUUACCCGGGGAGACAAGAAGCAGAAAACUACAAAAUAAGACAGGAAAUAAAACCCCACCGUGACAAAAAAAGAGCAAUAACAAAGUGAGGAAAAUCAACACAAAACAACGUCGCUUGUUGUUGCUUUAACUAAAAAAAGAAAAGUGUUUUAAAAGCAGGAUGACUCCUGAUGCCAAUACGUCCCUUUCCUAGUCAUACUUAUAUUAACAGAUAGUUAUUAUUGAUAUGUAAUGACUCGUGUACAUCACUUGCACCAAAGCGUGGCCAAGAAUAAUCACUUCAUACAAGUCCAGUACCUCGUAUUAGCAUCGGUUCAGCACUCGACUGAAUGAAGUUGUUCCACACUGCCUUUGUUUUCCUUACGUCCUUCUCAUGUCAAGGUGACUGAUUUCGGGUGUUUCCCACCUUUAGCUCCUUGGACCGGCACCAGUGGACAUCAGGGUCCUUCACCCUGACAAACACGUUCCGUUAAUUACCGUUAUAAUUCACAAGCCACGCGCUGCUUGAUGUACCGCGACAGAUGAUCAUAAUAAUGAUGGAGCACAGCGGACGGCGACCUACUGGAGACUCCUUCCUCUUCGUACCGGCAUGAGUUUGAAAGUUGCAACGUGUCACUGCAGAGGGAAGCCAAGCGCAUUGUUUCUGCACCGAGGAACAACGCGUGCGUGUCGGCGUAAACGUACCAACUGCCGUGAGAACAAAACCAUAUUGUUGUGACCGGGACACUUCUUAAUGACGACCUCCAUUUGCAUCGCUGCUGCAAGUCAUUUCAGGCUUACUGGAUCACAUCAACUAAAAAGCCCAUUUUUCAUUACAGAGAGCGGCGGUCGGCGGCGUCUGGAGCCGCUUUCACACCUUCCCACGCGCCGGCAUUUGUAUCGUUUUUGGAUGAGGUACAAGGAAAGUGUUUUCUUUUCUUGAUAAUGAACUCAGCGCCUGAAAACGUGUUUUUUUUCUUUUAGAUGUUCCGAACAUUUGUAUGUCCAUUUGAAUGCGAGUUUCCCGCUGUUCAUCGCAAAGGGCACAGUGACAUAUUUUGAUGUACGAAUGAAAGGCAGCAUUUUGGCAAUUAUAUUGGUUUAUGAAUAAAGUAUUUUCCAGAACUUAUUUAAUAUAAAUAUAUAUCCUUCUUGUCUGCUUUAAAAGUGUCUGAUGUGAGGCCGCUUAACUUGUAUUGCAAAGCAACCUGUGGCUUCCAUUCCAAUCAAGGGGGCGCGGCCCACGAGCUCCCGUGCGAUAUCUAUCCAGCCGGCCACAUGGCGCCGGCUUUCAGCCAUCCUUCACCGGCGGCAGGCUCUUGUAAUGAAGACCCUCUUCCCCCCCGAGGAGGUUCCACCUUUUUGUAUCCCGUCUAAGACCGAAUCUCUCACACACACACACAGAAAAACGGUGAAGGACGCAGGCCACUUCUCCUGCCGGCCUCGCGACCACCGCUGUCACUGGCCUGCGAGAUAACUGGCUUCCCCCCGCCUGUCCUUUUAUGUGCAUGUCAAAGUAUCCGCACAGGGGCCCUGACGCAUCAGCAUGAGCCCGCCUCUGCAGCGGACUGAUGGUCAGGAGAGGCGGGGCUUGCGCGGCUCACCUGCCGCCGUAUCACGCGAGAACGACUAUUACACAGCGUGCAUUUAUUCCGGUCUCUCCUUCAACUUGCAGGCCCUUCGUCGUCGGUCCCAGAUGGCGCGGCGGGGCGAGCGGGGAAGCUCAUCCUUCGCAGCGCUUCUCUCGUGUUAAGCCCGGGUUGUUGAUGUUGACUCAGAGACACGGUGAGUAUCACUUCGUCUAAAUUCCCCCCGGAAAGCCCAGUGAGUCAACGGAGAUAAGGCCAGGAAUUGACGGCUAAACCUCUGCGAAAUUCAGCUGCCCAAAACAUUACCCCGACCACGCGCAUGCGUCGGCGUGCGUGCCAACGGAGGCUGCGAGGCCUCGUGCUGGCGGAGGCCGCGCCUGUGGCCGUGAUGUUAUCCCCCCCCCCCCCCC
This is a long non-coding RNA of Gasterosteus aculeatus aculeatus (three-spined stickleback), 13872 nucleotides long. Lineage: Eukaryota; Metazoa; Chordata; Actinopteri; Perciformes; Gasterosteidae. The record is from Ensembl.